Molecule: ribosomal RNA, 230 nt
Filed under: uncultured archaeon
Lineage: Archaea
Description: partial 16S ribosomal RNA
Rfam family: Archaeal small subunit ribosomal RNA
Source: RNAcentral
GCCACUGCUAUUGGGGUUCGGCUAAGCCGUGCGAGUGGAGGGCGUCCCGCAAGGGAUGGCCCCCGCAGACGGCUCAGUAACACGUCGUCAACCCACCUUAGGGUGGGGGACAACCUCGGGAAACUGAGGAUAAUCCCCCCAUAGGCGGGGGAGGCUAGAAUGCGCCCCCGCUGAAAGCUCAGGCGCCCUAGGACGGGACGGCGGCCUAUCAGGUAGUUGGUGGUGUGACG